RNAcentral lists this ribosomal RNA (679 nucleotides) under human oral metagenome. Its description in RNAcentral is "bacterial LSU rRNA". It matches the Rfam family "Bacterial large subunit ribosomal RNA", at positions 2234 to 2925 of the family's 2925-position model. The record is from RNAcentral.
CGUGAUCCGGGUUGGGGACAGUGCCUGGUGGGUAGUUUAACUGGGGCGGUUGCCUCCUAAAUGGUAACGGAGGCGCCCAAAGGUUUCCUCAGUCUGGUUGGCAAUCAGAUGGUGAGUGUAAGUGUAUAAGGGAGCUUGACUGUGACACUGACGGGUGGAGCAGGUGCGAAAGCAGGGACUAGUGAUCCGGCAUCUACGUGUGGUUGUGGUGUCGCUCAACGGAUAAAAGGUACCCCGGGGAUAACAGGCUGAUCUUCCCCAAGAGUUCAUAUCGACGGGAUGGUUUGGCACCUCGAUGUCGGCUCGUCGCAUCCUGGGGCUGGAGUAGGUCCCAAGGGUUGGGCUGUUCGCCCAUUAAAGCGGCACGCGAGCUGGGUUUAGAACGUCGUGAGACAGUUCGGUCUCUAUCCGCCGCGCGCGUUGAAACUUGAAGAAGGCUGUCCCUAGUACGAGAGGACCGGGAUGGACGUACCUCUGGUAUGCCAGUUGUCACGCCAGUGGCAUGGCUGGUUAGCUACGUGCGGGAGGGAUAACCGCUGAAAGCAUCUAAGCGGGAAGCCUGUUUUGAGAUGAGGUUUCUGUUGAGGUUCCCUGAAGAUGAUGGGGUUGAUAGGCCAGGGCUGUGAGCAUGGUGACGUGUUGGAGGUGACUGGUACUAAUACACCGACACAAAAAACCA